AGAGUUUGAUCCUGGCUCAGGAUGAACGCUGGCGGCGUGCUUAACACAUGCAAGUCGAACGAUGAUCCCAGCUUGCUGGGGGAUUAGUGGCGAACGGGUGAGUAACACGUGAGUAACCUGCCCUUAACUCUGGGAUAAGCCUGGGAAACUGGGUCUAAUACCGGAUAUGACUCCUCAUCGCAUGGUGGGGGGUGGAAAGCUUUAUUGUGGUUUUGGAUGGACUCGCGGCCUAUCAGCUUGUUGGUGAGGUAAUGGCUCACCAAGGCGACGACGGGUAGCCGGCCUGAGAGGGUGACCGGCCACACUGGGACUGAGACACGGCCCAGACUCCUACGGGAGGCAGCAGUGGGGAAUAUUGCACAAUGGGCGAAAGCCUGAUGCAGCGACGCCGCGUGAGGGAUGACGGCCUUCGGGUUGUAAACCUCUUUCAGUAGGGAAGAAGCGAAAGUGACGGUACCUGCAGAAGAAGCGCCGGCUAACUACGUGCCAGCAGCCGCGGUAAUACGUAGGGCGCAAGCGUUAUCCGGAAUUAUUGGGCGUAAAGAGCUCGUAGGCGGUUUGUCGCGUCUGCCGUGAAAGUCCGGGGCUCAACUCCGGAUCUGCGGUGGGUACGGGCAGACUAGAGUGAUGUAGGGGAGACUGGAAUUCCUGGUGUAGCGGUGAAAUGCGCAGAUAUCAGGAGGAACACCGAUGGCGAAGGCAGGUCUCUGGGCAUUAACUGACGCUGAGGAGCGAAAGCAUGGGGAGCGAACAGGAUUAGANACCCCCGUAGUCC
Molecule: ribosomal RNA, 775 nt
Filed under: uncultured Arthrobacter sp.
Lineage: Bacteria; Bacillati; Actinomycetota; Actinomycetes; Micrococcales; Micrococcaceae
Description: bacterial SSU rRNA
Rfam family: Bacterial small subunit ribosomal RNA
Source: RNAcentral